GGUCUUUGCAUAGCCAUAUCCUAAUAAAAGAUGGAUUGCCUGACUUGUAUAUUGAUGCCCCCAAGAUAUUGAAUCAGAAAAACUUCCAGUUCACUCAGUGGUGCCCCUCUGGAGUACUUAUGGAAAGACAUAAGGAAGAAUCACACAAGGCUAGAAUCAAAGGAUCUUAGAGUUGAAUGGACUUCUGAAAUAAGCACCACAUUUUGUGAAUCAUUUGUUUGGCUAGUAUCCAGAGAAGGGUGAAGAAGGUGAUGAAGGGUCUUGAGGUAAUGCAAAAAUGAAUUGAAGAAAGUGGAGUUGUUUAGCCUGGAGAAAUUACCUGUUGGGGUGGGGAAGAAUUAAGAGGGUUAGGAGGGGGGAAUAUGAAGAUUGUGUUCAGGUAUUUUCAAGCAGAAGAGAGAUAUUUCC
Molecule: long non-coding RNA, 408 nt
Filed under: Monodelphis domestica (gray short-tailed opossum)
Lineage: Eukaryota; Metazoa; Chordata; Mammalia; Didelphimorphia; Didelphidae
Description: lncRNA (ENSMODG00000035542.2)
Source: RNAcentral